GAUCAUUACCUUUCAAUGCAGAAGAGUUGAGAUGGUUGAGUAUCUCGCCUCUCAAUUCUCGCUGUAUUUUACCCUUGUUUUUCUCAUACUAUUAUUUCCUCGGCAGGCUCGCCUGCCGGGUGAAACAACUUCAAACCUGUUUAAUUUUCAAUUAGCGUCUGAACAAAUUAAUAAUUACAACUUUCAACAACGGAUCUCUUGGUUCUGGCAUCGAUGAAGAACGCAGCGAAAUGCGAUAAGUAGUGUGAAUUGCAGAAUUCAGUGAAUCAUCGAAUCUUUGAACGCACAUUGCGCCCCUUGGUAUUNCCAUGGGGCAUGCCUGUUCGAGCGUCAUUUGUACCUUCAAGCUCUGCUUGGUGUUGGGUGUUUGUCCUUGCUCUAGUGGCGGGACUCGCCUUAAAGUAAUUGGCAGCCAGUGUUUUGGUUUUGAAGCGCAGCACAAGUCGCGAUUCAAGUCUAUAC
RNAcentral lists this unclassified non-coding RNA (462 nucleotides) under fungal endophyte. RNAcentral describes it as "sequence contains ITS1, 5.8S rRNA gene and ITS2". The stretch from base 179 to 333 matches the Rfam family "5.8S ribosomal RNA". Lineage: Eukaryota; Fungi. The record is from RNAcentral.